RNAcentral lists this long non-coding RNA (239 nucleotides) under Lathyrus oleraceus (garden pea). Its description in RNAcentral is "Pisum sativum (pea) long non-coding RNA (PSAT_LNC029056)". The record is from RNAcentral. Lineage: Eukaryota; Viridiplantae; Streptophyta; Magnoliopsida; Fabales; Fabaceae.
UCAAACUGAGGUUGAAUUCAAAUAAGUGCACUAUCAGAGUGCGGGCCGGCUAGCUGCUGGGCUUAUUGUGAGCGGAAAGGAGGAAUCGAGGUUGGUCCUGCUAAAAAAAAAGAGAAAAAAAAGAAAAAAAACAAGAAAUGCCUGAACCGAGAAUGGAAAGAGAGGUUCGUGGUCUCCUGGGUAGAUUGAACUACAUCUCAUGGUUCAUAUCUCACCUAACAGCCACGUGUGAACCUAUA